RNAcentral lists this ribosomal RNA (463 nucleotides) under uncultured bacterium. RNAcentral describes it as "partial 16S ribosomal RNA". It matches the Rfam family "Bacterial small subunit ribosomal RNA", at positions 28 to 508 of the family's 1533-position model. The record is from RNAcentral.
GAUGAACGCUGGCGGCGUGCUUAACACAUGCAAGUCGAACGGAAAGGCCAGUGCUUGCACUCGUACUCGAGUGGCGAACGGGUGAGUAACACGUGGGUGAUCUGCCCUGCACUUCGGGAUAUGCCUGGGAAACUGGGUCUAAUACCGCAUAGGAUCCCUUCGUCGCUGUUGUGGUGGAAAGUUAUUUCGUUGUGGGCUGAGCUCGCGGCCUAUCAGCUUGUUGGUGGGCUCUUGGCCUACCAAUGCGUCGCCGCGUAGCCGGCCUGAGAGGGUGUCCGGCCACAUUGGGACUGAGCCCCGGACCAGCCUCCUGCCGGCAGCAGCAGUGGGGAAUAUUGCACAAUGCGCGGUAGCCUGAUGGAGCCACGCCGCGUGAGGGAUGACUGCCUUCGGGUUGUAAACUCUUUACGCAAAAGACGACUUUUGACGGUUUUUGGACAAGAAGCGCCGGCCCACUUCGGGC